UGCCAGCCGCCGCGGUAAUACGGAGGAUCCAAGCGUUAUCCGGAAUCAUUGGGUUUAAAGGGUCCGUAGGUGGAUAAUUAAGUCAGAGGUGAAAGUUUGCGGCUCAACCGUAAAAUUGCCUUUGAUACUGGUUAUCUUGAAUUAUUGUGAAGUAGUUAGAAUAUGUAGUGUAGCGGUGAAAUGCAUAGAUAUUACAUAGAGUACCAAUUGCGAAGGCAGAUUACUAACAAUCAAUUAACACUGAUGGACGAAAGCGUAGGUAGCGAACGGGAUUAGAUA
Molecule: ribosomal RNA, 279 nt
Filed under: uncultured bacterium
Lineage: Bacteria
Description: partial 16S ribosomal RNA
Rfam family: Bacterial small subunit ribosomal RNA
Source: RNAcentral